Molecule: ribosomal RNA, 443 nt
Filed under: uncultured bacterium
Lineage: Bacteria
Description: partial 16S ribosomal RNA
Rfam family: Bacterial small subunit ribosomal RNA
Source: RNAcentral
CCUACGGGAGGCAGCAGUGGGGAAUAUUGGGCAAUGGAGGCAACUCUGACCCAGCAAUGCCGCGUGAAUGAAGAAGGUCUUCGGAUUGUAAAGUUCUUUAAUCAGGGACGAAGAAGAUGACGGUACCUGAGGAAUAAGCCACGGCAAACUAUGUGCCAGCAGCCGCGGUAAUACAUAGGUGGCAAGCGUUGUCCGGAAUCACUGGGCGUAAAGCGUGCGUAGGCUGUUUCGUAAGUCGUGUGUGAAAGGCGCGGGCUCAACCCGCGGACGGCACAUGAUACUGCGAGACUAGAGUAAUGGAGGGGGAACCGGAAUUCUCGGUGUAGCAGUGAAAUGCGUAGAUAUCGAGAGGAACACUCGUGGCGAAGGCGGGUUCCUGGACAUUAACUGACGCUGAGGCACGAAGGCCAGGGGAGCGAAAGGGAUUAGAUACCCUAGUAGUC